Molecule: long non-coding RNA, 527 nt
Organism: Triticum dicoccoides
Lineage: Eukaryota; Viridiplantae; Streptophyta; Magnoliopsida; Poales; Poaceae
Exons: 2
Source: RefSeq, a predicted model, not a curated record
UGUGCUUGGCAGAUAGAGGAACACGGGCCCCUGCUGCCGCCAACGCCACCAACGCGUCAUACUACUCAAUCCACUAUGCCGCCGCCGCCAUCACCAUGACCGCCGUUCGUAAGGAGACGGCCGGAGAAGGGUUCUCGGUGUCACCGGAGGGGAGGAAGGAGGUGCGGGAGAUCGAGUUCUUCCCGACGAGGAUCAGCAGCCACGAAGGCGGUUCCGACGAGUCCGAGCUGCGCAGGGCGUCGCCCUUGUCCUCCUCGCCGCCCGGCGGUGUCGGUGGCUCCCUGGACCUGUCCCUCAAACUCUAGCUAGGGUUUCGACUUCCGAUCAGUAUCCGGUCGUAGAUCCAUGAACGAGUUGUUGGAUUGUUUUUGAUUAAUGCUUGUCAUUUCUGGAGCUAAUUACAGUUUGCCAGCCAUGCAUGUAUCGGAUGAGAACGAGAUGAAUGCCUCCAUUGCCGUUAUAAGUAGAGUAAUUAAUUUCGUAAUCUGUGAGAUGAUAGAGGAGGAUUCGUAUCAUGUCAAACGCCA